Molecule: ribosomal RNA, 300 nt
Filed under: uncultured Halovivax sp.
Lineage: Archaea; Methanobacteriati; Methanobacteriota; Halobacteria; Halobacteriales; Natrialbaceae
Description: bacterial SSU rRNA
Rfam family: Bacterial small subunit ribosomal RNA (bases 52-300)
Source: RNAcentral
GAGAAUGCCGGGACGGUGGCGGGGGUAAUGUGGGGGAGGGUGAGGUGUGUCGGAGGUACGGGGCGGAAAGCGUGCGUAGGCGGCUUUGUAAUUUAGAGGUGAAAGCCCGGAGCUCAACUCCGGAACUGCCUUUAAGACUGCAUCGCUAGAAUCAUGGAGAGGUGAGUGGAAUUCCGAGUGUAGAGGUGAAAUUCGUAGAUAUUCGGAAGAACACCAGUGGCGAAGGCGACUCACUGGACAUGUAUUGACGCUGAGGUGCGAAAGCGUGGGGAGCAAACAGGAUUAGAUACCCGAGUAGUC